UUUUCUGGGUAUCUUAUUUGUUAAUGCUUAAUUUUUCUUUCUUUUUUUCCCCCCCAACAAAGUGUACCUACCUUCCAGCAAAAAUCUCAAGCCCUCGUCAGAAACAAAGACUCAAAAAAGCUUAUUUUCAGAUGAGGAGGACUCUGAGGAUUUGUUUUCUUCUCAAAGUGCGAGUAAGUUAA
RNAcentral lists this long non-coding RNA (182 nucleotides) under Macaca nemestrina (pig-tailed macaque). RNAcentral's name for it is "lncRNA (ENSMNEG00000045760.1)". The record is from RNAcentral. Lineage: Eukaryota; Metazoa; Chordata; Mammalia; Primates; Cercopithecidae.